This 221-nucleotide long non-coding RNA is filed under the name Olea europaea (common olive). RNAcentral describes it as "long non-coding RNA (OEUR_LNC004127)". The record is from RNAcentral. Lineage: Eukaryota; Viridiplantae; Streptophyta; Magnoliopsida; Lamiales; Oleaceae.
UCGAAGACUCCAAAUGACUCCCCUUGACAUUUCACCAUUGCUGUGAUCAAGCAUCGACAUCCUCAAGAUAUAAUACUCAACGACUUGUCUUGUACGGCUCUCUCAUUCUGUGAUUUACCUCCUCGAGCAUGCGUGGCCUCGAGAAUUGAACCUCCUUUACGACCCACGACAGCUGUCAUCAAUCUAAUAAGGUUCCUAUGUUCUUGAAAUUCUAGUCCCAC